Bison bison bison is the source of this 80-nucleotide small nucleolar RNA. The record is from Ensembl. Lineage: Eukaryota; Metazoa; Chordata; Mammalia; Artiodactyla; Bovidae.
GGCCAGUGGUGCAAACAGCCACAUUUGAGUGUCAGAAAACCUUGCAGUCUGCCUAAAGCAUGAUCUCUGUAGUGCUGACA